GUGCUCGCUUUGGCAGCACAUGUACUGAAAUUGGAACGAUACAGAGAAGAUGAGCUUGGCCCCUGCGCAACGAUGACACGCAAAUUCAUGAAGGGUUCCAUAAAAAC
Molecule: small nuclear RNA, 107 nt
Organism: Mustela erminea (ermine)
Lineage: Eukaryota; Metazoa; Chordata; Mammalia; Carnivora; Mustelidae
Source: RefSeq, a predicted model, not a curated record